Oncorhynchus tshawytscha (Chinook salmon) is the source of this 1491-nucleotide long non-coding RNA. Lineage: Eukaryota; Metazoa; Chordata; Actinopteri; Salmoniformes; Salmonidae. The record is from Ensembl.
CAUACACACAGCUACAUUACCACAUACACACAGCUACAUUACAUUACCACAUACACACAGCUACAUUACUACAUACACACAGCUAAAUUACAUUACCACAUAAACACAGCUAAAUUACAUUACUUCAUACACACAGCUACAUUACCACAUACACACAGCUAUAUUACAUUACUACAUACACACAGCUACAUUACAUUACCACAUACACACCGCUACAUUAUAUUACUACAUACACACAGCUAUAUUACAUUACUACAUACACACAGCUACAUUACAUUACCACAUACACACAGUUACAUUACAUUACUACAUACAACCAGCUACACUACUACAUACACACAGCUACAUUACUACAUACGCACAGCUACAUUACAUUACUACAUACGCACAGCUACAUUACUACAUACACACAGCUACAUUACUACAUACACACAGCUACAUUACAUUACUACAUACACACAGCUACAUUACAUUACUACAUACACACAGCUACAUUACAUUACUACAUACACACAGCUACAUUACUACAUACACACAGCUACAUUACAUUACUACAUACACACAGCUACAUUACAUUACUACAUACACACAGCUACAUUACAUUACCACAUACACACAGUUACAUUACUACAUACACACAGCUACAUUACUACAUACACACAGCUACAUUACGUUACUACAUACACACAGCUACAUUACUACAUACACACAGCUACAUUACAUUACAUUACCACAUACACACAGCUACAUUACAUUACUACAUACACACAGCUACAUUACAUUACUACAUACACACAGUUACAUUACAUUACCACAAACACACAGUUACAUUACUACAUACACACAGCUACAUUACAUUACUACAUACACACAGCUACAUUACAUUACUACAUACACACAGCUACAUUACAUUACUACAUACACACAGCUACAUUACUACAUACACACAGCUACAUUACUACAUACACACAGCUACAUUACUACAUACACACAGCUACAUUACAUUACUACAUACACACAGAUACAGUACCUAUCAAAAAUUUGGACACCUACUCAUUCUGGGGUUUUUCUUUAUUUUUACUAUUUUCUACAUUUUAGAUUAAUAGUGAAGAUGUCAAAACUAUGAAAUAACACAUACGGAAACAUAAAGGUGUUAAACAAAUCAAUAUACAUUUUUUUAUUUGAGAUUCUUCAAAGCAGCAUUUGCCUUGAUGACUACUUUUCACACUCUUGGCAUUCUCUCAACCAGCUUCAAGAGGUAGCUACCUGGAAUGCGUUUCAGUUAACAGGUGUGCCUUGUUUAAAGUUAAUUUGUGGAAUUUCUUACCUUUUUAGUUAUUACAUGAUUCCAUAUGUGUUAUUUCCUGAUUUUGAUGUCUUCACUAUUAUUCUACAAUGUAAAAAUAAAGGAAAACCAUUGAAUGAGUAAGUGUGUCCAAACUUUUGACUGGUACUCUACAUUACAUUACUACAUACACACAGCUACAUUAC